AUUGAACGCUGGCGGAAUGCUUUACACAUGCAAGUCGAACGGUAGAGGGGGCAACCCCUCGAGAGUGGCGAACGGGUGAGUAAUAUAUCGGAACGUGCCCAGUCGUGGGGGAUAACGUAGCGAAAGUUACGCUAAUACCGCAUACGAUCUAAGGAUGAAAGCGGGGGAUCGCAAGACCUCGCGCGAUUGGAGCGGCCGAUAUCAGAUUAGGUAGUUGGUGGGGUAAAGGCCCACCAAGCCAACGAUCUGUAGCUGGGCUGAGAGGACGACCAGCCACACUGGAACUGAGACACGGUCCAGACUCCCACGGGAGGCAGCAGUGGGGAAUUUUGGACAAUGGGCGAAAGCCUGAUCCAGCCAUUCCGCGUGCAGGAUGAAGGCCCUCGGGUUGUAAACUGCUUUUGUACAGAACGAAAGGGUUUCUACUAAUACUAGGAGCUCAUGACGGUACUGUAAGAAUAAGCACCGGCUAACUACGUGCCAGCCGCCGCCGUAA
This 496-nucleotide ribosomal RNA is filed under the name uncultured bacterium. Its description in RNAcentral is "partial 16S ribosomal RNA". It matches the Rfam family "Bacterial small subunit ribosomal RNA", at positions 30 to 523 of the family's 1533-position model. The record is from RNAcentral.